Molecule: unclassified non-coding RNA, 307 nt
Filed under: Chaetospermum chaetosporum
Lineage: Eukaryota; Fungi; Basidiomycota; Agaricomycetes; Sebacinales; Sebacinaceae
Description: sequence contains 5.8S rRNA gene
Rfam family: 5.8S ribosomal RNA (bases 1-53)
Source: RNAcentral
GAACGCACCUUGCACCCUUUGGUAUUCCGAAGGGUAUGCCCGUUUGAGUGUCAUUGUAAUCUCACACCCCUAGAUUUAUUCGACGGGCGGUGGACUUGGAUGCUGCCGCGUUAAGCGGCUCGUCUUAAAUGCAUUAGUGCAACUUUCGGUUGGACAUAGUACAGCGUGAUAAGUAUCUUCGCUGGCUCUCCUCACGGAGGUGUUCGAACGUUAAGCUCUGUGCUUCUAAUCGUCCCCUGGUGGACUAAGCUUCGGCUUACUUGACAACUUGACCUCAAAUCGGGUAGGACUACCCGCUGAACUUAAG